GAUGAACGCUGGCGGCGUGCCUAAUACAUGCAAGUCGAGCGAACAGACGAGGAGCUUGCUCCUCUGACGUUAGCGGCGGACGGGUGAGUAACACGUGGAUAACCUCCCUAUAAGACUGGGAUAACUUCGGGAAACCGGAGCUAAUACCGGAUAAUAUAUUGAACCGCAUGGUUCAAUAGUGAAAGACGGUUUUGCUGUCACUUAUAGAUGGAUCCGCGCCGCAUUAGCUAGUUGGUAAGGUAACGGCUUACCAAGGCAACGAUGCGUAGCCGACCUGAGAGGGUGAUCGGCGACACUGGAACGGAGACACGGUCCAGACUCCUACGGGAGGCAGCAGUAGGGAAUCGUCCGCAGUGGGCGAAAGCCUGACGGAGCAACGCCGCGUGAGUGAUGAAGGUCUUCGGAUCGUAAAACUCUGUUAUUAGGGAAGAACAAAUGUGUAAGUAACUAUGCACGUCUUGACGGUACCUAAUCAGAAAGCCACGGCUAACUACGUG
Molecule: ribosomal RNA, 497 nt
Filed under: uncultured bacterium
Lineage: Bacteria
Description: partial 16S ribosomal RNA
Rfam family: Bacterial small subunit ribosomal RNA
Source: RNAcentral